RNAcentral lists this ribosomal RNA (467 nucleotides) under uncultured bacterium. RNAcentral describes it as "bacterial SSU rRNA". It matches the Rfam family "Bacterial small subunit ribosomal RNA", at positions 355 to 825 of the family's 1533-position model. The record is from RNAcentral.
UAGGGAAUAUUGGACAAUGGGUGAGAGCCUGAUCCAGCCAUGCCGCGUGCAGGAUGAAGGCGUUAUGCGUUGUAAACUGCUUUUUAUAUAGGAAGAAAUAGUCCUUGCGAGGAAAGUUGACGGUACUAUAUGAAUAAGCACCGGCUAACUCCGUGCCAGCAGCCGCGGUAAUACGGAGGGUGCAAGCGUUGUCCGGAUUUAUUGGGUUUAAAGGGUGCGUAGGCGGUUUAUUAAGUCAGUGGUGAAAGACGGUCGCUCAACGAUUGCAGUGCCAUUGAUACUGGUAGACUUGAGUAUGAUUGAGGUAGCUGGAAUGGAUAGUGUAGCGGUGAAAUGCAUAGAUAUUAUCCAGAACACCAAUUGCGUAGGCAAGUUACUAAGUCAUAACUGACGCUGAGGCACGAAAGUGUGGGUAUCAAACAGGAUUAGAUACCCUGGUAGUCCCUGAGCGGGCUGGCAAGGCGCAU